RNAcentral lists this ribosomal RNA (255 nucleotides) under uncultured bacterium. RNAcentral describes it as "partial 16S ribosomal RNA". It matches the Rfam family "Bacterial small subunit ribosomal RNA", at positions 524 to 776 of the family's 1533-position model. The record is from RNAcentral.
UACGUAGGGGGCGAGCGUUGUCCGGAUUCAUUGGGCGUAAAGAGCUCGUAGGCGGCUUGGUUAGUUGGGUGUGAACCUCCAGGCUUAACCUGGAGACGCCACUCAAUACUGCCAUGGCUAGAGUCCGGUAGGGGACCACGGAAUUCCUGGUGUAGCGGUGGAAAUGCGCAGAUAUCAGGAGGAACACCGGUGGCGAAGGCGGGUGGUCUGGGCCGGCACUGACGCUGAGGAGCGAAAGCGUGGGGAGCGAACAGG